GUAGGUGAACCUGCGGAAGGAUCAUUAACAAAUCCUGAAAUUGUUUGUGUAUGGGGGGUUGUUGUAUUGAUUUCAUUUGAACAAGGGGAAUCAUUGUAUUCCUUCCUAUUCAUUUGAUAUCAUAUGGCAUUCCCCAUCAUAAAACAAUUACGCACGUUCCAUGUUACAAUUCAUUUUGUACAUGAUAACACAUUUCUACGAAUCAUCUGAUUGUCAUAUCAUUAAUUUAUUUAUAAAGACUUUUAACAAUGGAUCUCUAGGCUCUU
RNAcentral lists this unclassified non-coding RNA (266 nucleotides) under rhizosphere metagenome. RNAcentral's name for it is "partial ribosomal RNA internal transcribed spacer region". The record is from RNAcentral.